This is a non-coding RNA of Odocoileus virginianus texanus, 3339 nucleotides long. Lineage: Eukaryota; Metazoa; Chordata; Mammalia; Artiodactyla; Cervidae. The record is from RefSeq and is a predicted model, not a curated record.
CUGGACCCAGGGACCAAACCUGAGUCUCUGGUAUCUCCUGCAUUGGCAAGUGGAUUCCCACCAACUGCAGGACCUGGGAAGCUUUACUGAAAUGCAAAAGUUUGUUCCCCCUCCAAAUUCACAUGUUGGAGCCCUAACCCCAACAUGACUGUUACUUGGAGAUAAGGUUUUUAGGGAAGAAAUUAAGGUUAAAUGAAGUCAUAAGGGUGGGGCCCUAAUCUGACAGGAUUAGUAUCUUUAUAAAAAGAGAUAUCAGAGAGUUCACUGGCUCUCUCUCUACCAUGUGAGGACACAGCAAAGAAGUGGCCAUCUGGAAGCCAGGAAGAAAACCAGUCCCCUGAUCUUGGACUUCCAGUCUCCAGAACUGUGAGAAAAGAAAUCUCAGUUGUCUAAACUACCUAGUUUACGGAAUUUUGUUUUGGUAGUCUGAGCAAACAAACACAAACACACUAAUCCCAAGAAUUAAUCACAGAGUAUACAGAAAAAGAGGAUCAAGAACAGGAGUCAAGAACAGUUAAGACUGGCUUCUACCACGAACUCAGCCACUCUGUGGUACACCCUUAACCCUCUGAAGCACCUUUCUUCUCUUCUAUGAAAUGAGAGGCUCUAGGUAGAACUUCUUCAGGUCUCUUAAAAUUUCCAAACUAAGCUCUUUCCAGUGAUAAGAGUCUGGAGAAGAUGUGCAGAAAUGGCACCUUGUAGGGGGAAAGAAAAGAAGGAAGAACAGGUCAUCAGCCUUGGCCCUCAGAUGGCUGAAGAAAAUGUAUUUGGUGUGUGCCACACCUUUGCAUCCUUCGACACUUUUGUCCAUGUCACCAAUCUUUCAGGCAAGGAAACCAUCUGCCGUGUAACUGGUUGGAUGAACGUGAAGGCUGACUGAGAUGAGUCCUCUCCAUAUGCUGCCAUGUUGGCUGCCUAGGAUGUAGCCCAGAGAUGCAAGGCACUGGGCAUCACUGCCUUCCACAUCACACUCUGGGCCACAGGAGGAAAUAGGAGCAAGACUCCUGGACCAGGAGCCCAGUCAGUGCUCAAAGCCCUUGCCCGCUCAGGGAUGAAGAUUGGGUGGAUUGAGAAUGUAAGCUCCAUCCCCUCUGACAGCACCUGCAAGAAGAGGGGUCUCCACGGUCACCAUCUGUGAACAGGACUCCUCAAAUUGUUGUUUUGUUAAUAAAUUGCCUUGAUGUAAAAACAAAAACACUUUCAAACUAAAAGUGUUACAUACUGUGGGCUAUGGCUCAGGCAAUGACAAUGCCAGGAGUCUAUCCUCACGAAGCACAAAGUUCUUAUGGGUAUUCACAAAACUAUUUAGUUAUAAGCAUAUUCAUGACAGAAUUGCAUUUAAUGGCAAAAAACAAGAACAGCAACAAAAAAACUUGUAAAUAACCUAUCCAACAAUAAACUAUGUUAAAUAAACUAUAUAAUAGAGACAGAUCAUAGAAUAAGUGAAUAUUUAUUCUGCAAACCUGUUUAAAAAAAUUAACAUCAAGUAUAUACUGCUAAGAAACCUUAAAAUUAUAGAUUGGUAAAAACUUUGUUAAAAAUACGAUCAGUGAACAUGGAGCAUGCCACUCCUGCAUGCAGCUAUUCCUUCCACGUGAGUCACUUUUCAAAAAACUGUAAACUGUUUUAUUGAGGUAUAUUUGACAUAAACUACAAUAUCUAAAGUACACAUUUGGUAAGUUUUGACAUAUAUAAACCCAUAAAACCCACAGGCCCAUAAAACCAGAAUAAUAAAGAUAACAUAUCCAUCACUCCCCAAAGUUUCCUGGUGCACCUUUAUAAUCGCUCCCUCCCAACACUCCUUGCUCUCACUCGCCUCCUCAAAUCACCACUGAUUUGCUGUCACUACAGAUCAGUUUGCAUUUUCUAGUUUUAUACAAAUGAAAUCAUACAUUACAUACUCUUUUUUUGCCUGGCUUCUUUCACUCGGCAUAUUUGUGUUGAGAUUCAGCUAUGCCGCUUCAUGUAUUUAUUUCUGCGUGGUAUUUCAUUGUAUGGGUCAUUUUGACUCAGAAUUAGCAGUCUUCAUUUCCAAUCCAGUUGCUUCAAGAAAAGAGGCUUCAGCAAUGACAUCUAAUAUUUCUUUUAACUUCACCAUUUUCAAGGAAUUAGGGUGUUCCAGGCCAGGCUUGAUAUUUUCUCUUUUAGACACCGCUUGCUUUGCUUUGAUUCUUUCAAAGCAGGGCCUCAUUUACAUUUCACCUAAAUUUCAUUCUGCAGCAAGUUAAUAAACCCAACAUUGUGGGGCUGCUGGUAUGUUCCUGGUGAGUUUUAUCAGCUGGGUUCUAUCAAGUGACAUGAAUGCUGACUGAUGUCACUAAAAUGUCACUUUGCAUUUGUCAUUAAAUACAAAACAGUAAUUAGUGUAUGAAUCAAUUUUUGUUCUUAAAAUACUUUAAAAGAUGACAAAACUAUAUGUGAAAAAUGAUUAUUAAUCUGUAUUACCAAAUACAGUAAACAUUUUCUUUUUAAGGUCAAAGGGGAGUCACACACACACAAAAAGAAAGGUGAUAGGAUUUUACAUAAUCGGUAUUUGCUAGACUGCCAAAGAACAGGGAUAUCCAACUACUAUUAUUGUAUAAUAGCUUAAUUCAUAAGCCCUCACGUGUUCACCUAGAAUGGGCUUCUUAGGAAAGAUAUCCCUCAUGUCUCUGGAACCGAAACAUAAAUGUAAAAUUGUAAACCUACUUUCAUAAAUAUAAAUGGAAUUUGGAACCUUUUAGAGAUAAAGUAGUUCCAAUGACAGCUUCCAAGUUUUUGGCCUUGUAAUUUACAGUCUUUAAUUACAGUCUUUAAUUGUAAGUCUGUAUAAAGCUUGGCUAGAGUAACAGUUUAUUAUUUACCAAACUCCCUUUCACUCAUUAAUCACAAUAUGCAUUACAACACAGUUGCAAAAUAGGUCAAAAUACUCCUAAAUACAUUUUUGGCAUUCGGUACUUAUUAAUAUUACUCCCCUUUCUAUUCUUUGAGAAAGCCUGUAUUUAGUUAAGACUCUUGCUAAAAAUGCUAAUUAUUUAACGAUAACACAUCAAGUUUUCUCGUAGGGAAACAUAACGUCAAAACCCUAAGGCAGCCGUGAAUAUCAUCUUUGUAUUUUUAAGAUCUGAAAAUUCACUUCUUCCUAAUGUUACCCAGAUAUGGUCAACGCAGCAUACAAAAAAGAAUUUUUGGAAAUUCUCUGUGAUCUUGCACAAAAGCUUAAAAUAGAACGCAACGAGGGAACUACUUCAUCUACAUGUAAAACACAAUCCAAUACGCCUCACAUUGUGAAAGUUAAAGUGAAAAGUCGCUCAGUCGUGUCCGACUCUUUACGACCCCAUGGACUGUAGCCCACCAGGC